RNAcentral lists this small RNA (268 nucleotides) under Pan troglodytes (chimpanzee). Its description in RNAcentral is "retained intron". The record is from RNAcentral. Lineage: Eukaryota; Metazoa; Chordata; Mammalia; Primates; Hominidae.
CAAACACCUCUGUAGGGUGGCCUUGCCUGCUUUCCCCCUAAUGCUCACAUCUCCAGGGUCGCCGACAGGAGAAUGGCUGCCGCGAGACUCUGAGUGCCGCCUCUGCAUGUCCGUGACCACCCAGGCCGGGAACAGCAGCGAGCAGGCCAUACCACAGGCAAUGCUCCAGGCCUGUGUCGGCUCCUGGCUGGACAGGGAAAAGCUGGCUCCAGUUUGUUAAGGGUUUUAACUGCAGCCAGAGGUGUUCCGUGAGGGCUGAUGGAGGAGU